GUUUUUUUCGCACUCCCGUUUUUAAAAUAUAAAUCUACAAGAUUAUAUCUAAUGAUUGGUGCAUACAAAAGGAAAAAAAAAAAGAAUGUGCCUUCCAUAACAAUUAUACAUCGAUCUUUUAUUCCCUUUCACGUUUGUUAUUCUUGUUUGCAACAUUCUUCUUUCCUAUCUUCCAUGCUUUUGUUUUUGUUGCGUGUAUCUUUAAUCGCACGCAAAACUUAAUUUGGUUCAUCCACGUACACAUACACAUACAUGUUACCAUUAAACUCAUAACAAAAUUCAAUUGUAUAUUAGCUAACCCACGGCGUAGUUCUAAAUGCCAUCGUAAAUUAUGCAUGACACGUUCCAAACACACAUUAAAUUUGUACGUUAAAUAAUAUUAGUAAGUUUGAACUCCCAAGAUAAAUUAUUUUCUUCUUUGAGUUAACUACCAAACUAGAACUUCCAGUUUUCCGUAAUGCUCUAUAACGAUUCGAUCGGUUCCACCAGAGGCAGACCCACGUUGGUUAAAGGGGUGUCACCUGACACAUGUUAACGUUAUAUUGUAGAAAGUUUGUAACCUUUAAUCGAAAACUACAUAGCUCAAUUGGUGUGUUUGCUCUCCUCCUGACCCCCUUUAAUUGUGACACCCGGUUCAAUUCCCGCGUUUGCUAUUUUUUUCUUUUAUUUUAGUUUUCAUUUGGACCAAGUCCAAUUAGUGACACCCCUAAAAAUCUAUCUUGGCGGAUCUUGGGUCAGCCACUGAGUUCCA
This 751-nucleotide long non-coding RNA is filed under the name Brassica napus (rape). RNAcentral describes it as "long non-coding RNA (BNAP_LNC012133)". Lineage: Eukaryota; Viridiplantae; Streptophyta; Magnoliopsida; Brassicales; Brassicaceae. The record is from RNAcentral.